CAAGUACCUCUGUCCGAAAAUACUUGUCAUCAAAAUGAAUAAAAAAUAAUGUAUCUAGAACUAAAAUAUGUCUAGAUACAUCUCCUUUUAUCCAUUUUGAUGACAAGUAUUUCCGGACAGAGGGAGUACAUA
Triticum urartu is the source of this 132-nucleotide non-coding RNA. The record is from Rfam. Lineage: Eukaryota; Viridiplantae; Streptophyta; Magnoliopsida; Poales; Poaceae.